Molecule: RNA transcript, 6518 nt
Organism: Pieris napi
Lineage: Eukaryota; Metazoa; Arthropoda; Insecta; Lepidoptera; Pieridae
Gene name: E3 ubiquitin-protein ligase lubel-like
Exons: 22
Source: RefSeq, a predicted model, not a curated record
AAUAGAGGAUAGUGAUGGCAGAGCACGCGUUCGUUCUGUCAAUUUCAUCCGCAUAGGGCGUACGUUUCGAUAAAAUUUAGUUGUGAUUGCACUCUUGCGCCGCCCGGCACCUGUAUUUGCGUACAAUACCCCCGCGAGUGUAGUGACCACAUUGCAUAAUGUUACAUUGACGUGAUACCUUCGGAUACCAAGAUGUUGAAGGGUCGCGGUAGGGCUUCAGUGCCCGGGACUCCUACAAUGGGAAUGCGGACCCUAAACAGAGCGCCCAUGGCGAAGCCGGAACCAGACUACGAAGUAGUAGAGUUCCCGUCUGAGCAGUACGUCAACGCUAAACUGCAACCACCUCCACCACCGCCACCACGACCACCAACUGGUCAUCCAAUGGACACGUCUUGUGGUCUGUGCGGCGGUGGCGGCGCUAGAGUGCGGUGUACGGAAUGCGGACGUCGCGCGCUCUGUGCUUCAUGCGACGACAUGUAUCACAGACACCCGAAGCGGAGAAAUCAUCAGCGACAGGCCCUUCCACCGUCCCAGAUAAAGGAAGUACGACCGCCUUUACCACCAAAGGGAACACCACCCGUUCCACCUCCUCGGAGACACAAGAUGGCUGGAGACAGAAGCACAGCAAGUCCUAGACCACAACCGGUCGAUCCGAGGCAAGCCACCGUAAAUUUGGUCCAUGGGCCUCAAAAUCACUUCAACCAAGCAACGACGCUACCACACAACAAUUUUCCAAGUCAACGUACACCUCAAAAUUCUCAUUUAGCAAUGCCCAACUUUGCUGGUGCCAUGCAAGCGCCUAUGGAACCGACUGGUUUCAACUCUUGGGGACGCACGCGCACUUCAUUACCCGGAUACAAUGUCCCACCCCAAAACAUUAUGCCAACCCAACAAAUGGAACAUUGGGAAGGCCACGAAAAUCUAACCCAGAAUUGGGGUCGACCUCUACGACGCGGGGCUUCGGUUAUGGAGUUAGGGGGCCCCCCGCCUUGUGCUGGCUGUGCCCAUUGUGCCCCCAACCCAUGGCGCUACGGAAGCUGUGCUAACCUAGAUAACUCCUGGGGGCAAUGGCCACAAGGGUGCUGUAUUCCACCAACGCAUAAUCCCCGAUUGCCCUAUCCUCAAAUGCACCCUCAGACGCCUCAACCGUAUCGAAGAGCGGAAAGUCGAUGCGUGUCUCGUGCUGCUUCCCGCGCCCACUCACGCGCUCCAUCGCCAGCUUUAAGCAUGCGUUCCCGCACAUCAAGACGCAAGCCGAGAUCUCCGACGCCGUCUUUGCCAUCAAGUGAUGCUGACUCAGAAAGUGAGCCGGAGAGCGAUAGAGGCCAAGUAAAGAGAGUCGAGGAGAGAAUGGAAAUAAAAGAAAAGGAAAUGAAUAAUAAGGAAGAAAUUAAAGAAAGUGAAAGUGAUCUAGGACCCGCCCCACAAGCACCUAACACGACAUGGCAAUGUGAACAUUGUACGUUUGUUAACGACCCCGGUGUAAGAGUAUGCGUUGUAUGCUGUCGCACGCCAACUGUUACACCGAAAACUAUCACUUCUUUGCAAAAAAGCAUGGAGAAAUUAACGGUUGAAAAAUCUGUUGAAAAAGUUGAAAAAGCCCCAUCUCCGGUGGUUACAAAAGUUAUAAAUAAUACAGAUGACAAACCAAACAAAGAACGCACCAGAAAAGAACGCGUGUCCACUGGUUGCGGGCCAUCUCCGCCAAAAGACGUGAACCCUAAAAAUCGAUUAGAAACACCGACAAGAGAAAGUAAUCAAAAAUCAAAACAUUCCCGGCAUGAUAUUGCCGUUGGGCCGUCUCCUCCUAAAGAUAUUCAAAGUCACAUCAAAACUCAGCCGCGUGAACCUGUUGAAACUUUGAAACGAAGUAUUGGAUCAUCGCCACCAUCCAGUCCAAUAACUAAAACGGUUGUGAAACAGUAUGAAAUACAAAAACAGUCUGUUGGAAGUUCACCGUCCCGCGAUAGACCAGAAUCAAGAAGCAGGACUAAUGUGUCGAAUACGGGUACAUCUCCACCACCUCAGAGUAUAUCAACACAGACGUAUGAAGUGCCUAAUAAUUGGGAACGACCAGCUUCUGUGACCCGCUCACGUCCGCGGCGCCGUUUCAGAGAAGACAGGCGAGAGAGAUCUCACAGCAGGCAUUCACUCUCCAGUGAUACGAGAGAAAGUGAACGCAGUGUCCGCACAACGGGUGGUAGAUGGGAGUGGCGCGACAGCAGUCCGGCCGCUGACUGGAGUGAGACUGAGCGCAAGAAAGCGGAACGACUCACGCGCAGAGCUUCACACCUUGAUUUGCGCCGGACGCGCCCUUCACAACGGACCAGCCUUUAUGGGUCCGAGGGCCCGUCACCAGAGCCGUUAUCAAAUAAUCGAGCAAUUUCCUUAGAAGCUUUAGCUGGGGGACAUUCAAAGCGUGAAGCAGAAAGAGGUCUGGAACUAGCAAGACUCAUGACAGAAGCAGAACGCCUCGGCUUCAGUGCAGCUGAAGUUCACGCCGCUCUCGCACAGAAUCCGGUAGCGCCUCUUGCCUGGCUAAGAGAGCGAUGGCCCAGUUUGGUGGCGGGAGUUAGAGCAGCGGCAGCAAGACUUGCCGCUGGAACCAACGUAUCAGAGCUGGAAGCGCGCGCCGCUUUAUCGAAACAUAGAGGAGCCAUGUGGCCCGCCGUUACGGAGUGUGUCGAGCGACAUAGGCGACAGAUAGGUGAAAGUGGAAUAAGUGAAGAAGGAAAAUUACGAGGUCGAGUUUGGGGUUCUCCGAUAGGUGUCGAUGACGAAGCCAUCCCACCGUCUUUCUCCACCCGCUCACACCGCAGUCGCGCCAACGACAGUUCAGACGAAUUCGAAGAAUCCGUUAAUAAUUUUCAAGACGAUGACUGGAUGUAUUUACCGCUAAAUAUAAACAGAGAUACAUAUGAAACUGAACCAAAGCUUGAAGAUAGAAUUAAAUCUAAUCCUACUGAUACAGAAAAUAUAGCUGAAAAAUUAAAAUUAUUAUUAGACCUGGCUGGUAUUCCUUCUAUUGAAGAAAGUUUGCUUGUGCAAGGACUACGUGCAGAUAGUUCUAAUAAAUUAUUAAAGGGAAAUAAAGUGCAUACUUCUCCUUCACAGCAUACAGAUAAUUUAUUGGAGUUCAUACAAUCCGAAAAGGAUUUUAUUGAUGCCUACAAUGCAUUAACACGUCUAAGUCCAUUGCCAAAUAUAGAACAACAUAAGAAAGUAGUUCCAACCGACUCUUCAAUUGACACCGGCAUACAAACUCUUGAUCAACAGCCUCAAAAUCAAUUGUAUCCAUCGAAUAUAGAUUCCAGUAUUGUAAAUACACCAAUUUAUUCAGAUAAUCAUACAAAUAAUAGAAUAAAUAUUCCAAUAUCAUCUGAAAGCACAACACAAGAAAUUUUAACAUCACCAAAAAUAGAACCAUCUCAAGAAAAUAAUACAUUAAAUGUUAAUAACAGACAGCUAGAGAAAGCUUCGGUAGUUAAUGUUAUAGAGGAAAGGCAAACGGUAGAAGUGCAAAAUAUCAAAUCAAAUAAUCUGAGUGAUUUAGUAGAUAACACACAGCGGUUAAUACAACAAAUGAAAGAUGAAAUUAAUUACGAUAUCAAUUCAAACCAAGAUUCCGAGAAAAGUGAUAUUUCAGGUGUGAAUGAUUCAGAGCCUUCCACAGGCCAGGAAUCUAGUUAUAGUGAAUCGGAAAACAAUACAGAAGAAGUUGAAGGUACAUCUGAUGAAAAUGAAAGCUCGAUCGAAGAGGAUGAACAAGAAAAUGGAGAAUCCACAGAAAAUAAAGAUGCUAUCACAAGUUCAGAGGAUACGGAGCAGUUUGAAGAAGCAAUAGAUUAUUCUGAAUCGCCACAAGAAUUACAACAAAAUAACAAAACAGUGUUUGAUAUUUCUUCGCAAAAGUUACAAAAUGAUAAUAUUGAUUCUCCUAAAAUAAUAGCGAUAAAAAAAGAGAUGCUCCCUGAAGAUAUGAAUAACAACUUCUUCACAGUAGUGAACUCGUUUGAAGAAAUAUAUGAACAGCUGGCGAGUGAAACUAAAAUUCAAGAAACAAAUUCAAAUAAAAACCCUGUAACAAUACCUAUAAAAAAUAAAAGUAAUCAACUUACUAAAGAAACUCUGGAAGCAAUAGAAUUUAAAGUAUCUACACCAAUGAAAGAGAUUUUUUUGGAACUUAGAAGACCUAUCAUGAAUGCUUCCAUUGGAAAUGUUUAUGAACAAAAAGAAUCAGAUCCUGUUAUAAAAAAGAUUGAAGUAAACUUACCAUCCCUAGACAAAGAUAUUAAAAAUGAAAACAAUUUAGAAGAUUCCACUCCAGGUGACCCCAUGCCUACUCAUGGAGAAAUAAAUAUACAAAAAUCUAAUAAUGGGCAAGAUGUUAAUGAUAUUCCUUCGCAUGCAACUGUUAUCGAAAUAGUCGACUUAAAUAAAGCAAACGACAGUGAAGAAAAUGAUACUCCAAACCCAAGCGAAGAUCUUGUUUCAAAUACAAAUGCUAACAAAAAGAAUGUUAAUAUAUCUCAACCAAGUGUGUUAGGUAAAUCUAAUAUUCCAGUCCCCAUCAAAACUAUUUCCGAAAAAGAUAAGCAGGAUAAAAAUCCUAAAACAAUAGUUUCUAAAUUACCCGUAAGACGCACUUCAAUCAAACAAUACCCAGCGCCCGCACCUCCUAAAGCUCAAUUCGCGACUGUUCAAAAUGGAAAUGUUAAGCAACUACAGAGCAAAUUAUUUGUUCCGAAACCUGAAAUAAGCCAAGAUACGCCUAUUUUAGAUCCAACACCUUCUACGUCAACGUUAAAGAAAAAACAGGCUCCACAACCUCCGAAAAGUGAGAAACAAUCAUCACCAAAUAUGUCUCCUAAGGAAAAAGAACAAUUCUUCCGGGAAACGUGUCGAACAGAAGAUGAAUGGACUGACAGCGAAUCUGAUGAAGAUAUAAAAUCAAUGCAAAAAAUUAGGGAAACCACACCAACACCUGAGAUUCAGCCGCCUCCACCACUAACAAUGCGGCGAAUUUCGGGACAAAUCAUAGACUUAACGAGAAUACAAUUGCCCGAAGGUUCUCCAGAGAGACAAGCUCGUAUGCUUUUAGCGGAAGGCGCAACAGAAAAUUGGGAUCAAGCUAGGAUCGCCGUAGACUUAAUAACGCGAGGGACAGAUGUCCCAACAGCUCUCUUAGCUGCAUUGGAGUGCACUGAUCUCACAGCUGCCUUGGUAUACUUAAACCAAUACUGUGAACUGUGCGCUGCACACUAUCCGGAACAUGAAAUGGUAUCUAUGUUGCGAUGUGAGCACAGGUGUUGCCGCGAGUGUGCCAGGCACUACUUCACAGUGCAAAUCACUGAGCGCAGUAUCGUUGACUGCGUAUGCGCAUAUUGUAAAGAACCAGAGUUGGAAAACUUAGACGAAGAUGCCUGGGUCAAUUACUUUGCACAUUUGGAUAUUUUACUGAAGACGUUACUUGAAAACGAAGUACAUGAAUUAUUUCAAAGAAAAUUACGAGAUCGAACGCUCGCCCGAGAUCCAAACUUCAGAUGGUGCGUUGAGUGCUCUUCAGGGUGUUUCGUAAACCCCAAGCAAAGGAAACUUCGAUGUCCUGAAUGCAAAUCUGUCACUUGUGCCACGUGCAGAAAACCGUGGUCCGCAAAUCACGACGGUAUUUCAUGUGAACAAUAUGCGAUAUGGCUUGAAGAUAACGAUCCGGAACGAUCAAUGGCUGCGGUCCAACAGCAUUUGAAAGAAAAUGGCUUGGAGUGUCCGCGGUGCCGUUUUAAAUAUUCACUUUCCAGAGGUGGUUGUAUGCAUUUCACCUGUACCCAAUGCAAAUACGAGUUUUGUUACGGUUGUGGAAAGCCAUUUAUGAUGGGUGCAAGAUGCGGGCUUAGCGAAUACUGUGCUAAGCUGGGAUUACACGCGCACCAUCCCAGAAACUGUCUCUUUUACCUACGUGAUAAAGAGCCACAUGAUUUGCAAACGCUUCUUCAGAUGAACAACGUCACAUAUGAAACUGAACCUCCGCAAGGGAGCAACAAGCGCUGUCCAAUUCAAUUGCAACGGGAAACUCCCACUGGUCUCGUAGACACAACGUGUGGCAACGAAGUUGCAUCCGGCAACGCUGGUCUUUGCAAGAACCAUUACUUGGAGUAUCUGAGUCGAUUGGUGCGUAACAAGAAAAUCGAGCCUUUGCCGAUAUUGGGCGUGGACGAUUUGGAGACUUUGGAUGCACUACGUGGAAUACUUGGCUGGGUUGGCGCGUACGCUUGACCCAAUCCCGAUUAUGGAGGUUAGCGAGCUCGUCGCCGAGCUCCGGCGUCGCGCCCUGCCCUUGCCCGAAAGGGGACCCUGGGACACUGAUCCUAUUUACGCCGGGAUGUGCGCUGAGAUUGUUAAAGAGAAAAUUCCUCUGGACUGACAACUUAGCUUGUAUAGAAUAUUUAUUUAUCAUAACAAUUUUAUGCUUUCAAAUAGAAAAUAAUUAAAUAUAGAAACUCAUCUGUUAAUAUCAUAAA